This is a non-coding RNA of Gossypium hirsutum (cotton), 105 nucleotides long. The record is from Rfam. NCBI's taxonomy places the organism in Eukaryota, Viridiplantae, Streptophyta, Magnoliopsida, Malvales, Malvaceae.
AGUCCAUGAUGAGGACACCUUCUCAGAAAAUCUUUCAAUCUCUCAUGUAUCGUAAAGUGUCUCAACAUCAAAUUGAACAAAAGAAGAUAUAUCAUUCCUCAACUU